Molecule: ribosomal RNA, 256 nt
Filed under: uncultured bacterium
Lineage: Bacteria
Description: partial 16S ribosomal RNA
Rfam family: Bacterial small subunit ribosomal RNA
Source: RNAcentral
UACAGAGGUCCCAAGCGUUGUUCGGAUUCACUGGGCGUAAAGGGUGCGUAGGUGGCCAGGUAAGUUUGGUGUGAAAGCUCGGAGCUUAACUCCGAAAAGUCAUUGAAUACUAUCUGGCUGGAGGGUCGGAGGGGGAGACUGGAAUUCUCGGUGUGAGCAGUGAAAUGCGUAGAUAUCGAGAGGAACACCAGUGGCGAAGGCGAGUCUCUGGAGCGACUCCUGACACUGAGGCACGAAAGCUAGGGGAGCAAACAGG